RNAcentral lists this non-coding RNA (244 nucleotides) under Trichinella patagoniensis. RNAcentral describes it as "Eukaryotic large subunit ribosomal RNA". It matches the Rfam family "Eukaryotic large subunit ribosomal RNA", at positions 2419 to 2599 of the family's 3401-position model. The record is from Rfam by way of RNAcentral. Lineage: Eukaryota; Metazoa; Nematoda; Enoplea; Trichinellida; Trichinellidae.
AGCUUGACUCUAGUCUGACUCUGUGAAGAGUCAUGAAAGGUGUAGCAUAGAUGGGAGAUUGUCAAAUUGCCAUCGUUCGCGCGGUGGUCCGGUGAUCGCCAAUGAAAUACCACUACUUUGAUCGUUUCUUUACUUAUUCGGUAAAGCGAAAAAAUUGUGGCCAAUUUGGCGGUGUUUAUGUCGCUGUUGGUCAUUGUUUUCAUGUUAGAUUGAAGCUUUGUUUACAGCCGUCGCUUUGUGUCGC